AUGGAGGUGAUGAUUAUUUCCCCAAAUGAACGAAGCUGAAUAUACUGUGCUGUUCUAAUUCUCUAUUUUCAAUUGAGAAUCCAAGCCAGAUUUCUGAUCCAU
Molecule: small nucleolar RNA, 102 nt
Filed under: Ricinus communis (castor bean)
Lineage: Eukaryota; Viridiplantae; Streptophyta; Magnoliopsida; Malpighiales; Euphorbiaceae
Description: Small nucleolar RNA Z103
Rfam family: Small nucleolar RNA Z103
About the family: This family consists of several snoRNA Z103 sequences which are members of the C/D class of snoRNA which contain the C (UGAUGA) and D (CUGA) box motifs. This family seems to be found exclusively in plants. C/D box small nucleolar RNAs are known to act as a methylation guides for 18S ribosomal RNA.
Source: Rfam by way of RNAcentral